AGCGCACGAGGGAGCAUUAGCUGUUCUUUUGUUAGAAGGUUUGAAAACAGGUUUGGUGUUUUCGGUAAAUAUUUCCGUGUUUUCAGUGAAAAUGUCUUCAGUUCCGCCUCAGAGAGUUUAUCAAGCAGCAGGAAACUCCUGCUGAAGAAACAUUCACAGAGUGGAAAGAAAUCAACGUUAAGAUGGAGGAAGAGAUGGACGAUCAGCGCAGACUGAUGGAUUUUACCCGGAUACCCAAGAUCAUCUUGCACCGGAUAGAUCUGCCACAGUGCUGGGUGUGUAAAGAGGAGGAGGAUCUAAAUGAAUUCAGCAUCCAGGAGAGGAAGUCCACUUCAGAUAAAGAGGAACCAGAAUCUCUGCAGAUGAAACAGGAGCAACAGGAACCAGAACCUCUGCAGAUAAAACAGGAUCAAGAGGAACCAGAACAUCAAGAGUUGAAAGAGGAAGAGAAGCAACUCUGCAUCAGUCAGGAUGAAGAGCAUCUGGUGCUGAAACUGGAGACUGAUGACAUUUUGAUGAAUCCUCUAAAUGUGCAAAGAAUCUACAAUGAAACAGAACCACAGAGGAACCAACUCAUCUCUCAUGGCUCUGCUGAGGAUGAGAACCAGGAUCAGGAAGGAAGCAAUUCUGAAGAUCCAGGAAAAAAGAGAGAUGAAGAACAGAAACAAAAUCGGAGAUAUAAGAAAACCAAACAGCAGAAAAUCGUUUACAGUUUCUUCCGUGCAGACAAAGUGAAACACAGAAAUCAUCUCAGAGCGCACGAGGGAGCAUUUGCUGUUCUUUAGUUAAACUGAAACAGGUUUGGUGUUUUCAGUGAAAAUGUCUUCAGUUCAGCAUCAGAGAGAGUUUAUCAAGCAGCAGGAAACUCCUGCUGAAGAAACAUUCACAGAGUGGAAAGAAAUCAACGUUAAGAUGGAGGAAGAUGGACGAUCAGCGCAGACUGAUGGAUUUUACCCGGAUACCCAAGAUCAUCUUGCACCGGAUAGCACUACCCACAGGACGUGUCGCUAAACAGUGAGAUCUGUGGAAGGAGGAGGUUCUCAAUGAGCCCAGCAACCAGGAGGAAAACUCCACUUUAGAACAAGAGAAACAUCUGCAGAUGAAACAGGAUCAAGAGGAACCAGAACAUCAAGAGUUGAAACGAGAUCAAGAGGAACCAGAACAUCAAGAGUUGAAAGAGGAAGAGAAGAGAGUCAUCCUACAUCAGUCAGGAUGAAGAGCAUCUUGUGCUGAAACUGGAGACUGAUGACAUUUUGAUGAAUCCUCUAAAUGUGCAAAGAAUCCACAAUGAAACAGAACCACAGAGGAACCAACUCAUCUCUCCUGGCUCUGCUGAAGGUGAGAACCAGGGUCAGG
Poeciliopsis prolifica (blackstripe livebearer) is the source of this 1356-nucleotide RNA transcript. RefSeq lists it as uncharacterized. The transcript has 4 exons. NCBI's taxonomy places the organism in Eukaryota, Metazoa, Chordata, Actinopteri, Cyprinodontiformes, Poeciliidae. The record is from RefSeq and is a predicted model, not a curated record.